GACGAACGCUGGCGGCGUGCUUAACACAUGCAAGUCGAACGGAAAGACCCUGCUUUUGUGGGGUGCUCGAGUGGCGAACGGGUGAGUAACACGUGAGUAACCUGCCCUUGACUUUGGGAUAACUUCAGGAAACUGGGGCUAAUACCGGAUAGGAGCUCCUGCUGCAUGGUGGGGGUUGGAAAGUUUCGGCGGUUGGGGAUGGACUCGCGGCUUAUCAGCUUGUUGGUGGGGUAGUGGCUUACCAAGGCUUUGACGGGUAGCCGGCCUGAGAGGGUGACCGGCCACAUUGGGACUGAGAUACGGCCCAGACUCCUACGGGAGGCAGCAGUGGGGAAUAUUGCACAAUGGGCGGAAGCCUGAUGCAGCAACGCCGCGUGCGGGAUGACGGCCUUCGGGUUGUAAACCGCUUUCGCCUGUGACGAAGCGUGAGUGACGGUAAUGGGUAAAGAAGCACCGGCUAUCUACGUG
This 468-nucleotide ribosomal RNA is filed under the name uncultured bacterium. RNAcentral's name for it is "partial 16S ribosomal RNA". It matches the Rfam family "Bacterial small subunit ribosomal RNA", at positions 28 to 507 of the family's 1533-position model. The record is from RNAcentral.